AUUUAACGAGCUUCAUGGCUUGUAGGGCUAACAUUUUGGCAUAAGAUUUUUGCCAGCACAUAUAUCUGUGUCGCCCAUCUCUACUCUGCGCCCAACUAUCCAACUAUCGCCGACUAUCUAUCUAACUAUUGUGAGUACUUGUCAUUUAGCUUACUAUUUACUGUCACGCUUUUGAGUGCCCCUCGGAUGGAAAUGGGAAUGGAAAUGGGUCUGCGGCCGAAGGGGCUUGGCUUACUGGGAAGGGCCGUCCGAGAGAUAUCCAUUCGGGAGUGUAGGGAACUUCAGAGUUUCAGAGGACCGAGUCAGUCGACUGACCCGCGAUAAAGCCAGUUGUUUGGCCAGUGAAUCAGCGAGUGAAAAAAAACACAUAUUAGUAAAUUUCUAGCUAGUAAAUCAAAUUGUUGCAGUCGAGCAGGAAGCCUGGUCUUGACUUGGCCAAGAGGAAACUGGCGAUUAUAGUUCAAAUAAGAGAGGCAGCCGGAAGAACUUCAUUGCUUGUCAUCUGCUAGGAGUAUGUUUUUCUUACUCCACCCUUUUGGUUUUCCUGCAGGUAAAUGUUUUUCUACUUUGCUGAUUAAUCCUAUGUGCAU
This is a long non-coding RNA of Drosophila santomea, 590 nucleotides long. RefSeq lists it as uncharacterized. The transcript is spliced from 5 exons. The record is from RefSeq and is a predicted model, not a curated record. Lineage: Eukaryota; Metazoa; Arthropoda; Insecta; Diptera; Drosophilidae.